AUGGAGGCAGCAGACUGUAAAGUGUUUAAUGCGUCUCCCACAGAGCCCACAGCUCAGACCCUCCAGUUGUCUGUGUCUGAGAGCCUACUCAAUGAGGCGACGAGGGCAGGAUGGAAGAAGUACUUAGAAUCAUUCCUUAUCUUUGAAGAAGUGCCAGGAUGGGAUGGCUCACUUGCCGAGAUGACUCCACUUCUCUGGUUCAGAGACAGGAGACAGGAGAGUGGCUGCCUGUCUAUUUACAGAGGAGCCGGGACUCCAGUGCAUCUACAACCAGUGGAUAUCCUAAGAGUCUUGUACUACAGGACGGCUGGCGUGAGGGGAGGGCUCUACUGCAGGGCAUCCAGUGCUAGAGGAGAUCAGUGUAUUGCUGUAUAUUUUAGGGCAGGGGGAUAAAGUCUGUAUGCUAGUACAAUCAAGGUUAGAAUGGGUCCAAGACUGGAGUGGGACCAGGGCUGUAGCCCCAGCUCAGAGUGACGGUCCUCAGGUAUUUCCUCCUAAGACAGCCAGGGUUGGAGUGGACCCAGAGGAGUGUUGGAGCUGUGUAUUUCAGAACAGACAGGGGGAAACCAUCCAGGGCUUUAUUACAUCUACAACACAGGAGGCUGGAUGAAGGGAGGUGUUGCCCUUCUUUGACCACUGUGUGUUCCAGGCAAGCUAUCCAGGGCUACAGUGGAUCUACAGCACCUGUUUCCUGUACAUCCAGGACUGGCGGAGAGGAGAACUGGAUCUGCCUACACUAUAAUUGAUUGGAUUUACAUAACGCUUUUCAGUGUGCAAAGCGCUUUACAUGCCGCUGUAGGCUACACCAGGCAGCUCUCCUUCUUCCCCGAGACGCCAGCGGUCAGAGCGCUGUAUGUCAGUACAUCCAGAAGAAGAGUGGAUCCAGUGCUAUAUCUGAUCUAAAACCAAGGAAGAGCAUAGAGGUGUGGAUGAGACCGCUGUGUUCCUAGACCGCUGUGUUCCUAGACCGCUGUGUUCCUAGACCUCUGUGCUCCUAGACCGCUGUGUUCCUAGACCGCUGUGUUCCUAGACCGCUGUGUUCCUAGACCUCUAUGCUCCUAGACCGCUGUGUUCCUAGACCGCUGUGUUCCUAGACCGCUGUGUUCCUAGACCGCUGUGUUCCUAGACCUCUGUGCUCCUAGACCGCUGUGUUCCUAGACCUCUGUGUUCCUAGACCGCUGUGUUCCUAGACCUCUGUGCUCCUAGACCGCUGUGUUCCUAGACCGCUGUGUUCCUAGACCGCUGUGUUCCUAGACCGCUGUGUUCCUAGACCUCUGUGCUCCUAGACCGCUGUGUUCCUAGACCGCUGUGUUCCUAGACCGCUGUGUUCCUAGACCUCUGUGCUCCUAGACAGCUGUGUUCCUAGACCUCUGUGCUCCUAGACCGCUGUGUUCCUAGACCGCUGUGUUCCUAGACCGCUGUGUUCCUAGACCUCUGUGUUCCUAGACCGCUGUGUUCCUAGACCGCUGUGUUCCUAGACCGCUGUGUUCCUAGACCUCUGUGUUCCUAGACCGCUGUGUUCCUAGACCGCUGUGUUCCUAGACCUCUGUGCUCCUAGACCGCUGUGUUCCUAGACCGCUGUGUUCCUAGACCGCUGUGUUCCUAGACCGCUGUGUUCCACUGUAUUAGAAUCCUCUUGACUUU
Molecule: long non-coding RNA, 1644 nt
Organism: Oncorhynchus mykiss (rainbow trout)
Lineage: Eukaryota; Metazoa; Chordata; Actinopteri; Salmoniformes; Salmonidae
Source: Ensembl